RNAcentral lists this small RNA (27 nucleotides) under Arabidopsis thaliana (thale cress). Its description in RNAcentral is "ATSL306310". Lineage: Eukaryota; Viridiplantae; Streptophyta; Magnoliopsida; Brassicales; Brassicaceae. The record is from RNAcentral.
UUUUGGUAUACUUUUUCUUUCGCUUAU